RNAcentral lists this long non-coding RNA (628 nucleotides) under Ananas comosus (pineapple). Its description in RNAcentral is "long non-coding RNA (ACOM_LNC026147)". The record is from RNAcentral. Lineage: Eukaryota; Viridiplantae; Streptophyta; Magnoliopsida; Poales; Bromeliaceae.
GGCGACCAUAGAUGUAAAAAAUAUCUAAGAGUUUAAAAAAAUUGCAUGUGUUUGCAAUUAAGAUUAUGAUCACAAUCUAAAACAAAAUUAUUUUUCAAGAAAAUUUUUAUGUCACAUAGAAAAAUAAUGAAUCCAAAAAAGGCAACAUGUAGAAUUAAUUGAUAAUCAUAGAUGCAUAAUAAGAGAAGCAUGCAGUCAUAUCAAAACAUCACAAGCAUGAUAAUCAAAAGAUGAAAACAAACAAAUCAUGCUUCGAUACUAAUUGUUAGCGAAAGUGGGCAGUGGAUACUUAUAACCUGAACAGCCAAUGUAUCCAAGAAUCAGAUCAAGCUGCUUAUUUUACAAGCUUUGUUGGACCAUCCUGGCAUUCAAUACUUCUAGAUCUUCCAUGAGCCUCAUCUUCUCCCACAUAUUGCUUCUUGGAUGUGAAAAGGAAUACCCGAGUCCUCUUCUAUAUCCAUAUAGCACUCCUCCCAUAUAUCGCUUCUUGGAUGUGAAGAGGGCGUGUAGAGUCCUAUUCUAUAUCCAUGCAUGCUUCACAAGCCUGGGACAUCAGUGGUGGAAUAGAGAAAUUGGCUGAGAAAGGGAAAAGGAUGGAGGGAAUUCUCUUAUCUAUUUAUAUUAUUUU